CAACUUUCAGCAACGGAUCUCUUGGCUCUCGCAUCGAUGAAGAACGCAGCGAAAUGCGAUAAGUAAUGUGAAUUGCAGAAUUCAGUGAAUCAUCGAAUCUUUGAACGCACCUUGCGCUCCUUGGUAUUCCGAGGAGCAUGCCUGUUUGAGUGUCAUUAAAU
Molecule: ribosomal RNA, 161 nt
Filed under: uncultured Hebeloma
Lineage: Eukaryota; Fungi; Basidiomycota; Agaricomycetes; Agaricales; Cortinariaceae
Description: 5.8S ribosomal RNA
Rfam family: 5.8S ribosomal RNA
About the family: 5.8S ribosomal RNA (5.8S rRNA) is a component of the large subunit of the eukaryotic ribosome.
Source: RNAcentral